GUUCUACCUUUUCUUGUCAUCCUUUCAUUAAAAAAAAGGAAAACCAUUUAUGCUACAUUUUAACAUCAAAAAAAUAUUAUGUUUUGGAUUUUCUGCACCUCUGUCCUUCAGAGUCAGAGAUAAUUGAGAGUUAAGUACAAUCAACCUUAAAGUUGCCUUGCAAGCCACCAGGAAAGGCAGAUAUUGGAGAGGCAGAAGCUAGCUUCAGGAUCAUGUCCCUAUAGUCAGUAACACACCAGCACCUAGGACCCUGCCACCUCUGCUCUUUUCUGGCCACCUCGAACAAACUGUUUUCCUUUUCCCAGGGCCUAUGACCCUGCAGACUAUGAGCAUUUGCCAGUUUCUGCUGAAAUUAAGGAACUCUUCCAGUACAUCAGUAGGUACACACCUCAGUUGAUUGACCUGGACCACAAACUGAAGCCCUUCAUUCCUGAUUUUAUCCCAGCUGUCGGGGAUAUUGAUGCAUUCUUAAAGGUCCCACGUCCUGAUGGAAAGCCUGACAACCUUGGCCUAUUGGUAUUGGAUGAACCUUCUACAAAGCAGUCAGACCCUACAGUGCUCUCACUCUGGUUAACAGAGAAUUCUAAGCAGCACAACAUCACACAACAUAUGAAAGUAAAAAGCCUAGAAGAUGCAGAAAAGAAUCCCAAAGCCAUUGACACGUGGAUUGAGAGCAUCUCUGAAUUACACCGUUCUAAGCCCCCUGCGACUGUGCACUACACCAGGCCCAUGCCCGACAUUGACACGCUGAUGCAGGAAUGGUCCCCGGAGUUUGAAGAGCUUUUGGGCAAGGUAAGCCUGCCCACGGCAGAGAUUGAUUG
RNAcentral lists this small RNA (821 nucleotides) under Pan troglodytes (chimpanzee). RNAcentral describes it as "retained intron". The record is from RNAcentral. Lineage: Eukaryota; Metazoa; Chordata; Mammalia; Primates; Hominidae.